GGAGUGUGCUCAAGAGCAAGGGGGCCUGAAGAAAUGGCUCCUCUGUUUACAACACACCCAGGAAGAAAUCUGGGUUCAUAUGACAAGGGGUACAACGCUUGUGGCCUUCCUGUGAACAAACGCCCAACAUGU
RNAcentral lists this small nucleolar RNA (132 nucleotides) under Catagonus wagneri (Chacoan peccary). Its description in RNAcentral is "Small nucleolar RNA SNORA11 (ENSCWAG00000002121.1)". It matches the Rfam family "Small nucleolar RNA SNORA11". From Rfam's summary of the family: U107 (SNORA11) is a member of the H/ACA class of snoRNAs that guide the sites of modification of uridines to pseudouridines. This snoRNA was identified by RT-PCR from blood cells and its expression confirmed by Northern blot analysis. There is no predicted target for this guide snRNA. Lineage: Eukaryota; Metazoa; Chordata; Mammalia; Artiodactyla; Tayassuidae. The record is from Rfam by way of RNAcentral.